AGUGGGAUAGCUGGGUCAAAUGGUGGUUCAAGGAAUCUCCAAAUUGCUUUCCAUACUGGCUGCACCAAUUUGCAGUCCCACCAGCAAU
This 88-nucleotide microRNA precursor is filed under the name Marmota monax (woodchuck). Lineage: Eukaryota; Metazoa; Chordata; Mammalia; Rodentia; Sciuridae. The record is from RNAcentral.